ACUCCUACGGGGAGGCAGCAGUGGGGAAUAUUGCACAAUGGGGGAAACCCUGAUGCAGCCAUGCCGCGUGUGUGAAGAAGGCCUUCGGGUUGUAAAGCACUUUCAGUAGGGAGGAAGGUAGUGUAGUUAACACCUGCACUAUUUGUACGUUACCUACAGAAGAAGCACCGGCUAACUCCGUGCCAGCAGCCGCGGUAAUACGGAGGGUGCGAGCGUUAAUCGGAAUUACUGGGCGUAAAGCGCAUGCAGGUCGGCCUGUUAAGUCAGAUGUGAAAGGCCCGGGGCUUAACCUCGGAAUUGCAUUUGAAACUGGCUAGGGCUAGAGUCUUGGUAAGUAGGGGGGUUAGAAGUUUCAGGUGUAGACGGUGAAAUGCGUAGAGAUCUGAAGGAAUACCAGU
This 398-nucleotide ribosomal RNA is filed under the name uncultured bacterium. RNAcentral's name for it is "bacterial SSU rRNA". It matches the Rfam family "Bacterial small subunit ribosomal RNA", at positions 335 to 713 of the family's 1533-position model. The record is from RNAcentral.